AUGCAUGUCUAAGUACAGUUCGACAGAGUAAUCUGCCGGGCGAAACCGCGGACGGCUCAUUAAAUCAGUCGUGGUCUAAAUGGGCUAAAGUUUCCUUUUGGAUAACUGUGGAAAAUCCAGAGCUAAUACAUGCGAUUUACGAGUCCUGAGCUAAAACUCUUUAUUCCUUUGGGGAUAUUGGGCAAUAACUCAGGAUGCUUUUAUUAGACCGAGGUGCGCGCAUACUCGACUUAGCUCUUUGUGAAUUUACAUUUGCAUUGGGCGGUCGUUUGUGUGUCGUUGUGUAAGCGCUUAAUGGUGAACCCUGGAUAACACUUGAUGAGCGUGCCAUUGCGGCACGCCGCCUACUUACGAGUGACUGCCCUAUCAGCUAGUAACGUAUGUUAUACGCGAACGCUGGCGGUAACGGGUAACGGGGAAUCAGAGUUCGAUUCCGGAGAGGCAGCCUGAGAAACGGCUACCACG
This 465-nucleotide ribosomal RNA is filed under the name Thyropus sphaeroma. RNAcentral's name for it is "SSU rRNA". It matches the Rfam family "Eukaryotic small subunit ribosomal RNA", at positions 51 to 414 of the family's 1831-position model. The record is from RNAcentral. Lineage: Eukaryota; Metazoa; Arthropoda; Malacostraca; Amphipoda; Parascelidae.